GGAAGCAGUGCUUCCUGCCCGGAUGAUCCUCAGUGGUCUGGGGUGCAGGCUUCAAACCUGUAGCUGUUUAGCGACAGAGUGGUUCAAUUCCACCUUUCGGGCGGGAGUAUCUAUCCCAUUUUGCGACCCGUACUCUGCGAUGAACGUUUUCAAAUCGACCCGCACUCUUCGUAGCUGCCUUUUGUCCCCCGGGAAGGAUCAAACGCGUUUCUAAAGCAUUUGCUCGGCCUCGUGUCUAAUCCGCAUGUAGCUGUCAGUCUGUCCAUUUGCUCCUGUGGCUCAGCCCCGUCUCCGUGUCUGAGCAGCGACGGAUGGGGACGCAGCUGUGCUCCACCCUCGGCCCUGGUCCCGGGAGGCCGGGGAGAGCACAGCACCGGGCAACCACGUUCUUAAAGAGGUCGAAGCGCCUGGAGCCUCGCCGCCUGGCGACCUGACCAGGGUGACCUUGAGACACACUUGAUGAUGACAUUGACGCUCGAGCGAACGCCUGGUCUUUUUCAAGGUCAGCAGAGCUCCCCGACCACCCGACCGGCCGUGCAACCCCUCCUCCAGUGGUUUGUCCUUCCCAGGCGUGCUAUCAACGAAGCGGCAAGUGUUCUGCCCUCCGUGUGCUUAGGAUCCGUUCUUUCCCAUUCUGGGUCCUCCCCAGCCUCCCCUAGCUACUCUCAGUCCGGGAGUAGAGAAGACCGCCUAACAGUAACUGUCCCCUGCUUCCCUUCCCAAACCCUGCUGUGGACAUCGCGUUCUGAGUGUGGGCAUUCCUUCCCAGCCAUGAAGUCUCCCAAAUAUGUCAGUUUAUCCCAACCUGUCCCCCGCCCCGUAGGUGACACAGCCUGGAACAGGGCGAGCCCUCCCCAGUGUCCGCUUCCCUUUCACCCAGCUGCAGGCUGAUUAGUUAGGUGCCCCAGUAAGUGCCCGUGAAGGCUUCCCAGCAACACAAAUUCAUUCUGUCUCGUUGAAAGCCAUGUAAUAGGUGCCCAGGGCAAAUACACACUUUGAACUGA
Molecule: long non-coding RNA, 1004 nt
Organism: Mesocricetus auratus (golden hamster)
Lineage: Eukaryota; Metazoa; Chordata; Mammalia; Rodentia; Cricetidae
Exons: 2
Source: RefSeq, a predicted model, not a curated record